Papio anubis (olive baboon) is the source of this 117-nucleotide unclassified non-coding RNA. It matches the Rfam family "Metazoan signal recognition particle RNA". Rfam says of the family: The signal recognition particle (SRP) is a universally conserved ribonucleoprotein. Lineage: Eukaryota; Metazoa; Chordata; Mammalia; Primates; Cercopithecidae. The record is from Ensembl.
GCUGGGCAUGGUGGCUCAUGCCUGUAAUCCCAGCACUUCGGGAGGCUGAGGUGGGUGGAUCACCUGAGGUCAGGAGUUCAAGAUCAGCCUGGCCAACACGGUGAAACCCCAUCUCUA